RNAcentral lists this long non-coding RNA (2396 nucleotides) under Homo sapiens (human). RNAcentral's name for it is "non-protein coding lnc-SHC3-6:1". Lineage: Eukaryota; Metazoa; Chordata; Mammalia; Primates; Hominidae. The record is from RNAcentral.
GUAUACAUUUGGAAAGUACCCAAAUAAAUGAGAAGCUUCUAUCCUUGAUUUGGGGAAGACAUUCCUUAGCGGAGGCUGUGCAGCCUCCCGCCCCUGCAUGGCCCAGGCGGGACAGCUGGGCUCGCUCUUUUCUGUCCGUUUCCUGCUGUGUUUUGCCCUCUCUGGCCUGUGACGUGCUCCUGGCGACUUCUUCCUCAGUGCCCUCUCUUUUCUGUCCUCUCUGUCUCACAGCCUCGUCUCCUAAGCCCCUCCCUCCUCCUGGCUCCUCUUCCCUGUCCUGUCUGGGCCAUGUGGGGGACAGGAGGCUUUCCUCUCCCUGGACCCCCUGGCCAGCCUCGGGUGCGGGGCCCGACAGCAGCUCGAGGGUCUCCUUGCUGCCGCCCUUCCUGAGUGACCAGGCACAGCACGUGCACGCCCUGGGGAACUUCUACCUCUUCUGCCAGGCCACAGGUCCUGCAGACAUUCGCUUUGUCUGGGAGAAGAAUGGGCGAGCUCUGGAGACCUGUGUCCCUGUGCAGACCCAUGCACUGCCCGAUGGCAGGGCCCAUGCACUCAGCUGGCUGCAGGACGCCAUCAGGGAAAGCGCUGAGUAUCGCUGCUCUGUCCUCUCCUCAGCAGGGAACAAGACUUCGAAGGUGCAGGUUGCUGUGAUGAGACCUGAAGUGACCCACCAGGAGAGGUGGACCAGAGAGCUCUCUGCCUGGAGGGCUGUGGCUGGGGAGCACGACCGGAUGAUGCAGAGCUGGAGGAAGGCGUGGGAAAGCUGUAGCAAGGACACCCUGUAGCCACCAGGAAGGAGUCCCUGACACCGACCUCAACCCCAACAAGACCCUGCUGCCACUGACCACAGCCACCCCCGGAGAAGGCCUGGUCCCCCACAACUGUGAACUGUCUUGCCCAAGCCUGCUCUGAACACAGCCAUUGGGCCACCACCUGAUGGGCAGAGGCGGGACAGUGGAGAAGCCUGGAACCCAAGUGGGCCUGUGACAGGAACUAAGACUUAAAAAAUUAGGUGCUUACCUGGGACAGUAAGUUCUGUCUGGCACAAGCAGGUAACCAGGAUGGCUAACAGGCUUUGAUAGCUGCUCGUGAACUAAAACAGCAGGGUGUGUGCAGGUUCCUCCUCUACGGUCAGGCAGCAGGCUCUGAAGGCUGAUCCUACACCGUCCCAGUGACUCCCCUUGACAGAGUGCCCCCACCCCCUAAUAGCCAACAGGGUUAGCAUGGCCAGCACAGAUCGCUGCUUUUAUUGAUGCAAAUCAAGCCUGCUGCUUCUCCUCCCUGCAGACUUAGCCAAGGAACUCCAAGAUGCAUGACUGGGACAAGAAAAGGUGAGACUCCACAUGGAAAUGCCUUGCCCUAAACCUUGAAUGACUGUGAGAUGCGAUCUGGGAGUGCAUCUGUCAAGUCUUUGUGUUUUCUUCACUAACCUCAGAAUACUGGGCUCUAUUUUAUCAAGCGCUGCAGUUUAUGCCUCUGUCCCGUCAAUGCUCAGCUUCUGCAACAGGACACCAAACUUGAUGCAGAAAGCCAAAUAGGUCAAUUAUGCAAAUCUCCUGGUGCCAUAUUAAAUUUCUUGACGAUGGAAUGAGUCUCAUGAGUGUUUUGUUCUACCUGCUUUCAAGUCUCUAAUUAUUAAAGCUGUAUCUCUGAAGACUGUGUCACUGUGUGUGUGAACUUGUCCUAAAGCUACUCAGCCUUUAAUCUUACACACACGUCUCUUCUUGUCUGUUGAAUGACAGUUUUCAUGUCUAUCAUAAAACCAAAGCCUCUGUUAAAAGUCAAGCCGCACCCCUCUGGUGAUCCUAGCAAAUACUGAGUGUCUUCCCAGCAGUGUGACAAUGACCUGUUUUGCAUCCCCUCUUUCUGGAGCUGGACAAAUUCUCUACCAGCCUUUGUGUGGGAUCAGCAUACAUCGCCUGCUAAUUCCUUCAGGAUCCAUCACAACAGGUGUCCUGAAGAUGCUGGAGACACCCUGGUUGUCUCCACACGUUCCCCCUCCGCACCCCAAGUCGAGAGGCCCAGCUGCCUGUGAGGUGUGUGCUUGCCCAUCCAGCCAAGGAUGCCAGUCUUGCUCACGGAACCAUCACAUACUCAUAACCUGAAGUUUUCCUGUAAAAUAUCCAUCAGCUCACUGUGGUUCUUGCUUUGGGUGUGGCUUCAACCACUACAAACUGAUGAGUGAAAUGCUAUGGGCUUUAGGCUUAUAUUCUUGGUGCUGUUUUCUGUCUCUUCUCCUGAAGUCUGGAUUUCAAGCACUUUCACACUUAACAAAAUAAUUACAUACUUGAAGUUUUCGUAAUGUGGAGUGUUCUACUGGGAAAUGGAGUUAUGAGGAUGAAUUUCUGAGUCUUUCUUUGCUCUGCUGGAAAAAAUAAAAAUAGAGUUGUACAUUG